AUGGGAGUGGCGCACGGGUGCGUGCGCGUAUGUGACCUACCUUAUUGAGGGGGAUAGCCCGGAGAAAUUCGGAUUAUACCGCGGUGAUGAAAAGCUGGCAUCGGUUUUUCAUGAAAGAUUUAUUGCUAAAGAUGGACAUGCGUCUGAUUAGUUAGUUGGUGAGGUAACGGCUCACCAAGACGAUGAUCAGUAGGGGUUCUGAGAGGAAGGUCCCCCACACUGGCACUGAGAUACGGGCCAGACUCCUACGGGAGGCAGCAGUAGGGAAUAUUGGGCAAUGGAGGGAACUCUGACCCAGCCAUGCCGCGUGCUGGACGAAGGAGCUAUGCUCUGUAAACUGCUUUAGCUUGGGAAGAAAAGGCGUCUGCGGACGAUAUUGACGGUACCCUGAUAAUAAGCACCGGUUAACUACGUGCCAGCAGCCGCGGUAAUACGUACGGUGCAAGCGUUGUCCGGAUUUAUUGGGUUUAAAGGGUGCGUAUGCGGCUUUAUAAGUCAGUGUUUAAAGCACAUAUCUCAACUAUGGAACUGGCAUUGAUUCUGUAGAGCUCGAGUAGAAACGGGGCAGGCGGAAUUUAUGGUGUAGCGUUGAAAUGCAUAGAUACCAUAAAGAACACCGAUAGCGAAGGCAGCUUGCCAGGAUCUAACUGACGCUGAGGCACGAAAGCGUGGGGGAUCAAACAGGAUUAGAUACCCUGGUAGUCCACGCUGUAACGAUGAUUACUGGUUGUUGGCGAUAGAUAGUCAGCGACCAAGCGAAAGCAUUAAGUAAUCCGCCUGGGGAGUACGCCCGCAAGGGUGAAACUCAAAGGAAUUGACGGGGGUCCGCACAAGCGGUGGAGCAUGUGGUUUAAUUCGAUGAUACGCGAGGACCCUUACCCGGGCUAGAAUGUGAAGGAAUAAUUUAGCGAUAGCUUAGUCGGCACCGACUUGAACCAAGGUGCUGCAAGGCCGUCGUCAGCUCGUGCCGUGCGGUGUUGGGUUAAGUUCCGCAACGAGCGCAACCCCUAUGUUUAGUUGCCAUCAUUAAGUUGGGGACUCUAGUCAGAGUGCCUGCGCAAGCAGAGAGGAAGGAGGGGACGAUGUCAAUUCUUCAUGGCCCUUACGCCCGGGGCUACACACGUGCUACAAUGGCUGUUUCAGUGGGCUGCCAGUUAGUAAUAGCAAGCCAAUCCCAAAAAAGCAGUCUCAGUUCGGAUUGAGGUCUGCAACUCGCCCUUAUGUAGCCGGAAUUAAUAGUAAUCGCGCAUCAGCAAUGGCGCGGUGAAUCGUUCCCGGACCUGGACACACCGCCCGUCAAUCCAUGGAAGCCGGGGAGACCAGAAG
Molecule: ribosomal RNA, 1326 nt
Filed under: uncultured bacterium
Lineage: Bacteria
Description: bacterial SSU rRNA
Rfam family: Bacterial small subunit ribosomal RNA
Source: RNAcentral